Molecule: long non-coding RNA, 507 nt
Filed under: Prunus persica (peach)
Lineage: Eukaryota; Viridiplantae; Streptophyta; Magnoliopsida; Rosales; Rosaceae
Description: long non-coding RNA (PPER_LNC003628)
Source: RNAcentral
AAGAGAGUACACCAGUACUAUAUACCCUAGAAGAGAUGAGAUGUUUUCAUGACAGAACUUGUAACUUUGUGAUUAAUUCAAGCAACCAUAUGGAUGUACAUAUUAGUCAAAAUAAACAGAUAGCUAACUGAAUAUUUUAAACUAGCUAGAUUUUUUUUAUUUGGGUGGGGAAGUAACAUAACAUAAAAACCGGUAGCCAUUCAAAGAAAGAAAAGAGUACAAAAGUGGCUACGAACCUAAAUUUUCGCAGUGCCUGUGGGUGCUGUGUUUCUCAUGUUCGGCGAGUGGCGAUUCUCAUUAUUUUUGGGGAAUUGUUGGACCAAGACCAAACCCAUUCAUUUGUCUUCAAUCCAACGAGUUAGACCAUUCAAUCGGCUGUUAGUAUACGGCACGUCGACACCCUUUGUUUAGAUGAAACGACAAACUGCCCUAUAUCUUUCAGAUAGGAUGGUCCAAAAGUCAGAGUCUUUGCCCAAAAAUACAAAGCAUGUGUAAAAGCAAGGUGUG